UACAGAGGGUGCGAGCGUUAAUCGGAAUUACUGGGCGUAAAGGGUGCGUAGGUGGUUGAAUAAGUUAGGUGUGAAAUUCCUGGGCUUAACCUGGGGACUGCGCCUGAUACUGUUGAGCUAGAGUACUGUAGAGGAAAGUGGAAUUUCCGGUGUAGCGGUGAAAUGCGUAGAUAUCGGAAGGAACACCAGUGGCGAAAGCGACUUUCUGGACAGAUACUGACACUGAGGCACGAAAGCAUGGGUAGCAAACAGG
RNAcentral lists this ribosomal RNA (253 nucleotides) under uncultured bacterium. Its description in RNAcentral is "partial 16S ribosomal RNA". It matches the Rfam family "Bacterial small subunit ribosomal RNA", at positions 524 to 776 of the family's 1533-position model. The record is from RNAcentral.